UCCAGCUUAACGCCGGCAGUCUCCGGUGAAAUAUCUAACACCGGAUGAGGGUUUCGCUCGUUGACGGACUUAACCGAACAUCUCACGACACGAGCUGACGACGACCGUGCAACACCUGUCAUCGGGUUCCUUGCGGCACUCCCCUGUUUCCAGGGGAUUCCCGAGAUGUCAAGCCUGGGUGAGGUGCCCCGCUUGUCGUCGAAUUAAACCACAUGCUCCACCGCUUGUGCGAGCCCCCGUCAAUUCCUUUGAGUUUUAGCCUUGCGGCCGUACUUCCCAGGCGGCACACUUAACGCGUUAGCUUCGGCACAAGGAGGGUCGAUACUCCCAAUGCCUAGUGUGCAUCGUUUACGGCGUGGACUAC
RNAcentral lists this unclassified non-coding RNA (364 nucleotides) under uncultured bacterium. RNAcentral describes it as "contains 16S-23S intergenic spacer region". The record is from RNAcentral.